AGACCCGAAACCCGGUGAUCUAGCCAUGGGCAGGUUGAAGGUUGGGUAACACUAACUGGAGGACCGAACCGACUAAUGUUGAAAAAUUAGCGGAUGACCUGUGGCUGGGGGUGAAAGGCCAAUCAAACCGGGAGAUAGCUGGUUCUCCCCGAAAGCUAUUUAGGUAGCGCCUCGUGAAUUCAUCUCCGGGGGUAGAGCACUGUUUCGGCUAGGGGGCCAUCCCGGCUUACCAACCCGAUGCAAACUGCGAAUACCGGAGAAUGUUAUCACGGGAGACACACGGCGGGUGCUAACGUCCGUCGUGAAGAGGGAAACAACCCAGACCGCCAGCUAAGGUCCCAAAGUCAUGGUUAAGUGGGAAACGAUGUGGGAAGGCCCAGACAGCCAGGAUGUUGGCUUAGAAGCAGCCAUCAUUUAAAGAAAGCGUAAUAGCUCACUGGUCGAGUCGGCCUGCGCGGAAGAUGUAACGGGGCUAAACCAUGCACCGAAGCUGCGGCAGCGAACGUAUCACUUAAAGCGAUUCAGCGGGUUACGAUUGACGGAGCGAAGCGACGUCAAAGCGUAUACAAAGUCGAGUCGGUUUAAGGAUACGUUCGUUGGGUAGGGGAGCGUUCUGUAAGCCUGCGAAGGUGGCCUGUGAGGGUUGCUGGAGGUAUCAGAAGUGCGAAUGCUGACAUAAGUAACGAUAAAGCGGGUGAAAAGCCCGCUCGCCGGAAGACCAAGGGUUCCUGUCCAACGUUAA
This 742-nucleotide ribosomal RNA is filed under the name Salmonella enterica. Its description in RNAcentral is "partial 23S ribosomal RNA". It matches the Rfam family "Bacterial large subunit ribosomal RNA", at positions 711 to 1368 of the family's 2925-position model. Lineage: Bacteria; Pseudomonadati; Pseudomonadota; Gammaproteobacteria; Enterobacterales; Enterobacteriaceae. The record is from RNAcentral.